This 497-nucleotide ribosomal RNA is filed under the name Penicillium glabrum. RNAcentral describes it as "eukaryotic LSU rRNA". The stretch from base 131 to 284 matches the Rfam family "5.8S ribosomal RNA". Lineage: Eukaryota; Fungi; Ascomycota; Eurotiomycetes; Eurotiales; Aspergillaceae. The record is from RNAcentral.
UGUACCUUGUUGCUUCGGUGCGCCCGCCUCACGGCCGCCCGGGGGCUUCUGCCCCCGGGUCCGCGCGCACCGGAGACACUAUUGAACUCUGUCUGAAGAUUGCAGUCUGAGCAUAAACUAAAUAAGUUAAAACUUUCAACAACGGAUCUCUUGGUUCCGGCAUCGAUGAAGAACGCAGCGAAAUGCGAUAACUAAUGUGAAUUGCAGAAUUCAGUGAAUCAUCGAGUCUUUGAACGCACAUUGCGCCCCCUGGUAUUCCGGGGGGCAUGCCUGUCCGAGCGUCAUUGCUGCCCUCAAGCACGGCUUGUGUGUUGGGCUCCGUCCCCCCGGGGACGGGUCCGAAAGGCAGCGGCGGCACCGAGUCCGGUCCUCGAGCGUAUGGGGCUUUGUCACCCGCUCUGUAGGCCCGGCCGGCGCCAGCCGACAACCAAUCAUCCUUUUUUCAGGUUGACCUCGGAUCAGGUAGGGAUACCCGCUGAACUUAAGCAUAUCAAUAA